RNAcentral lists this ribosomal RNA (468 nucleotides) under uncultured bacterium. Its description in RNAcentral is "partial 16S ribosomal RNA". It matches the Rfam family "Bacterial small subunit ribosomal RNA", at positions 28 to 507 of the family's 1533-position model. The record is from RNAcentral.
GACGAACGCUGGCGGCGUGCUUAACACAUGCAAGUCGAACGGAAAGGCCCUGCUUUUGUGGGGUGCUCGAGUGGCGAACGGGUGAGUAACGCGUGAGUAACCUGCCCUUGACUUUGGGAUAACCUCAGGCCACUGAGGCUAAUACCGGAUAGGAGCUCCUGCUGCAUGGUGGGGGUUGGAAAGUUUCGGCGGUUGGGGAUGGACACGCGGCUUAUCAGCUUGUUGGGUGGGUAGUGGCUUACCAAGACCAUGAAACGUAGCAUGCCUGCGAGGGUGACAGGCUACGUUGGGCCUGGGAUGCGGCCCGGACUCCUACGGUACGCAACGGUGGGGUAUAGUGUACUGUGCGCUGAGGCCUGAUGCGACAACGCCGCGUGCGGUAAGACGGCCUUCGGGUUGUAUUGCGCUUUCGCCUGUCACGAGGCGUGAGUGACGGUAAUGGGUGAAUAAGCACCGGCUAACUACGUG